AAAAUGGCCGUCACGACAAUUUGUGUUUUUGCAUCUGAAAAAAAUGUGAUUAGACCACUAUGGUGAGUGUUGCUGUGGUAAAAAUAUAUAUUUUUAUUCAGGGCGUUUAACAUACAAGCUAAAGACGGAAGGAUAAAACUUCCAGGCGCUUUGAAAGAAGGGUUUCGACAAUGUGUUUAUCUGUAUUUCAGUCAGAUGACAUUUCCAUCAUUAUGCUAAUAAUUUAUUUACCAAUGUUUUAUGCAGUAAAAUAUAUAUUUCAAAUGUCUGCUUGUGGUUAAUUAAAUGUUUUUGCUGAUGUUUGGAACGAAAGAAAACAGAAAAAUAAUCAUUUCAUCCCGUUUUUAUUGCUUUAGCAACAAUGAUAACAAUCGCGCCAUUUAAAAAUUAUCAAUAUUAUUCACAGAAAAUUGAUAAAAAGUCUGGUGUUCAGAAAAUUUGUGCAAUUUUUUUUUUCAUUGUAUUGUUAACUGAUAAUAAUUAUACGAAACAGGUAGAUCUUAUUAUGUCUUUUCGUGAAUAUUCUCCUUGUAUCAUGAUCUAUCAAUAACCAUGCUACAUUUGACUCGCCCUGUGUUAUCUUUCGCCCCACUUUUGUAACAAACGACACUGAUUUACGGAUUAAAGUAGACCAGAUUGCGAUGAUUGUCAACAAGUGUACCUCUUCAAAAGAAAUAAAUGAAUCGUAUAACCCCAGAAUGAAUUUUAAGAAAUGUUAUAUUUAAUCCUGUAUUUAUGUAUGCCGUGGUACAUGAUUGUUAAAAAACAUCUUUGUUUACUUGUGUCUGCAUCUGUAAGAUCAACAAGUUGCAAACGAACUAGCAGUUCUGAACCUAGUGUUAAAAAUAUGAAUUUCUAUAGGUAAUCAGUGGUGGAUCCAGAAAUUUUCAUACGAGGAGCCCACUGACUGCAUAAGAGGGGACCAAAUCCAGUUAUACUUCGGUGAUUCUCAAAAAUUAUCAAAUUUUUCAAACAAAACGAGCCAGCCCCUCCCCCUCCCGCUGAAAACCCCUCUAAAGUAGGCUUGCUAUACGCCAAAAAAACAAACAGUGAACCACUUCAAGUAGAAAAGCCCUAAAACAUAUUCUAGCUAAUGACUGCAAAUUUCUUUUUGCUGAAGGAUUGAUUAGAAAAAAUUUGGAAAUGAUGACUGCUACCUACUUACAUUUCAUUACUCUCCCUUUCUGGUGUUUUCCCCCGUUUUUUGGGGGGGUGGGGGGGGGGGGGGGGAUGAGUGUAUAUAUCGGAUAUAUAGAUUUCCGACUGCUGCUGCAAAAUCUAUGAAGUAUUUUUUGUUUGUUUCCUAUUUUGUUCAUUUUUUAUGCCUGAAUUAUUGGUAGAACCGCGGUCAAUUUCGAGCAUUUCUAGACAAUGCUUACGAAGCUUCAUAUAUAUAUGCAAAUCUAAGGUUUUAUAAAAUUGCUGCAUCCAGAAUAUGAAAAUUGUUAUAUAAGAAGAGAUAAAUUUUAUUUCCAAAUAGGUCCCCAGAGGGCAUAUACACAUAACAUAUAUAAUUGAUACCAUACAGUAUUUUUACAUAACAUUGUAAAAUAACCUAUUGAAAUAGUCAUACAGUUAUUUGUUAAUAAAAAAGUAUUUGAGAGUUGCUACUCCAGAGAUGUGGCAAACCCCAUUUAUUUAUUUUACUUGAUUUAUAAUAUUUUGCUGAAAAUGUAAAAUUUAAAAUAAAAUGAUUGUUAGCCUGCAACAGACACCAAGGGACGAUGCUCUAGGAUUGCGAUCUUAAAAGCUCUAACAAUCCUCCUCGUAUCUGAUGCAAAAAAACAAACACAAAUGGAAAAAGUUCAUUUAUAUUCACAUCAAAUAACAUGUACUGCAGUAAAUAGGUAUUGGAAUAGUUAGGUUUUCCCUACUGCAACAGACACCAAGGGGCGGUACUCAGAGCUGUGGUGUUUACACAGUCCUCUCGUGUCUGAAGCAGACAAAAGCCACAUCAUUUAACAAUUUUUCGAAAUAAAUUUACAUGCAGCAGUGAGAAUAGAUAUCUUCUGUGUUCAUAAGACAUAUCAAUUUAUCUCUUGGUUAAGAGUUAAAAAAUUGGGGCAACUUUUAGUUAUCUCUUGAAAUAGAUGAUUACGGUCAUCAUUAAAUUUAACACAUUGGAAUAAAAAAUGAUAUUCAUAUAUGAAAUAACAACACAUUUGUUGAUCAUAAUCUGUUCUUUUAUUAUUAUUAUAGUACACAAUUUAAAGACAAAAAUCUACCAUUCCCCGAAAAAAUCAUCGCUGAAAUGUUAAUGAAAAUCCAUCGUUUAUUUCGAGAUCACACAAUAACCAAAAAAUUGGACGAUAUGAAUGUUGAGCGUUUUAGCAGAAUCUAUGUGUAAGUCAACAAGAAAUGUAAAACAGAAUUAAAACUAAGCAGGUUUUUCCUUAUUAUGUUUUAUUAAUUCAUUUGAUUAUCUAUGUUUUUAAUAACUUUCUGUUCGGAUGAACAAUUUUUUUGUUAUGUUUUCGUUGUUGUGUAUUCUCCUUGUCUAUGACGUCGUCGUUUAUGAAACAUCAGCUGUGACAAACUUAUGACAGAUCGUAAAGCAGCACAACGUCUCGAAAACAUUUCGCUAUGUACCUAUCAGAAUAAAUUGGUGUCUUUGAGUUGGGAUUUAUUUCGGUCGAUCGAUUUAUUAAUAAUAUGAAAGGAGUAGUCCGGUAAGGGCCCAUUUUGGCGUCAAAUUUCAGGUUCAUCUGAUGUGUCUACAUCAAUCGAUACUGAUUUAGUCAUUUCAGACGCUCAUAUUCAAGCUUAAAUAUGAAAAAUCUAUCAACCAUGCCAUAAUAUGCCACUUUUCAGAUAGUUUUUUUUCAAAAAUGAAAUAUAAAGAAUGAACACGAAUACGGUCACUUCCAUUUAAGACAAAUGCUAAAAUUGUGAAGAUUUCAUUAAUUUAGCAUGUCUUCAUGAUGCUAGUACCAGAUAUAUGCGCAUUGUGUUGUAAAAAACAGCCCAUAUUUAUGUAGCAGAAGUAUUAUACUUUCCAAUCAAUAGCUAAAAGUUUACAUUAUAACAAUUUUGUAAAACUGAUAUAUUUUGGGGCCAAAAAGAGGUCUUACUGAACCUACUCCUUUAUACAAGUUUUAAGCAAAAAGAAUGAUUUAUUUCAUACUAGGAACUUACUACUCCCAAAAAUACAGCGUGAAUCAAUAAAAGAGACAACUAUAAAAUUCUUUCGUUUUGUCAAACUCUGAUAUUUUAUACCAUUUUUCUCUACUCUUUGUAAUUUUAUUAUUUUUCCUUCCGUUUUAUAUAUUAUAUUUGUGACUAAAUUUUCGAGAUUUUUUAUUUUGAAAUGUGACUUUAUAAAGCUUUCUGGUUCGAUGAUAAUCAGAUAAAGUUAUUUCUAAAGGGGUGAUUUAUGUAUUUCUAAAGAGUCGACGCUUUAAAAAAAAUACAUGAAAUGUGAAAAUUUAAGUACUCUAAGUACAGUAGCCGCGAAGAACAGAGAAUGUUAUGUUAGCAACAUAUCAGAAUAAAUUAAACUGAACAACUACAGACAUGUAUGUGAUUUAUUCUUCCUUUUUUUUUGUUAUUCUCCCUUUUUUCUUAUAAUAGUGUGUGUGCUGUGGCAUGCGGGCAGGUUUGGCGUUCUGUUAUGAAAUUGUGUACACAAUCUUCAUUUCACUUCGAUCAUACUUUUCUGUCUUCGUGAUGUUUCUGUGUAAAACUCUUGUCAUUACAUCUUUACACCCAAAUACCUCGUUUAAUAUAACCAUUUUUUUCUAGUCUUAAAUUUAGCGCACAUCAUUCUCAGUUCUGUAAAACCUUGUUAUCCAAUCCUUGCAUAUAAUUGCUGUGUGUGUUUUUGAAUUUUGUUAUUUUUUGUUAUUGUGUGUAUGCAGAAUUAUUUUUACUAAAUAAUUUCCCCUUAUAUUUUGUACCCUUUAUAGAAGUUACAGUUUAUCGGGAUAUUGUAUCCGUAAGCAAAAUUUACAUUUCAGGAUAAAGGUCAGAGGAUAACAGUUUAUAAGUUGAUUCUUGGAAGUAAUAUCCAUAGGAAGUUGUUCUACCUAGAUUUAGUUUUGAAGAGCAUGGAAACUGAAGGACCAAACGAAGGACUUCGAAAAGUAAGAGCAAAAUCGGUAAGAAAUGAAGUAGGAUCUAGAUUAGGUUAAUAAUAUAGAGAAUAAUAGACCCAUUCUACAAAUAAUGGACAAAAAAAUAAAGAAAAGAGAAAAUAGGAAAAUUAAUGAUUAAGAUAGAGAAUACCGAGGACAUAAACUAUUAAGACUAGAAAAUAUUGAAAAAAAAUAUAAAUAAUGGAGAAAUGGCUUAAAGAAUACACAAAUGAGCGACCCCAAAACAGACCCUCAUGAAAUAAAAGAUCAUAAUAACAGGUAAUCCGGGUGGGCAACAUCUCAACAGAAUAUCAUUCCGUUGAGAUGUUGCCCAUUCUGAUGACAUGUUGGCCAUUCUGAUGACAUGUGUGCAUACUUCAAUGACAUUUUGGACAUGUUGCCCAUCCCUAUGACAUGUUGCAUACUCCGAUGACAUGUUGCCCAUUCCAAUAACAUGUGCAUUCUUCAACGACAUGUUGGACAUGUUGCCCAUCCCGAUGACAGGAUAACCAUUCCAAUGAAAUGUUGCAUACUCCGAUGUCAAGAUACCCAUUCUGAUGACACAUGUGCAUACUACGAUGAUAUUUUGGACAUGUUGCCUAUCCCGAUGACAGGAUAACCAUUCCAUUGAAAUGUUACCUACUUCGAUGACAUUUUGGACAUGUUGCCCAUCCCGAUGACAUGUUGCAUACUCCGAUGACAUGUUGCCCAUCCCGAUAACAGAAUAACCAUUCCAAUAAAAUGUUGCAUACUCCGAUGACAAGAUACCCACCCAUUCUGAUGACACAUGUGCAUACUCCGAUGAAAUGUUGGACAUGUUGCCAACCCGGUGACAUUGUUGCCCGUUCUAUUGUAAACUAUGCGCUAUUUUCCAUUUGGGUAAAGAGACAGUUAGUCUGAUUUCUUGUGAGGGAAUAGCGCCACGUUUAUCGCAUAAAAAGAAGUUAAGCCCUUUGCAACAUAUGAGUGUCUGAUACAGAUUUUGAUCAUAUACCCAUUCUUCUUUUAUUCAUCACCUGAUUGACCCACUGAUAAUGCAUGAACUUUUUUCCACUGGAAAUCAGACAAAAAAAAUCAUUCUGACUUGAACAAUAUUUACAUUGACAGCCGUAUGCUAUAGAAGUUUGGUAAAAGUACGUAUUGAAUGCCACGAGGACCAAUCUGCAAAGAUGUCUAGCUUUCCUUGAUGAUGACCGAUUAUUUUUUUUUUAAUUUUCACGAAAGAAAUCAGAUUAUAUAUUCAGGUUCAAUGAUUUAUAUUUUAUCAUGCGGCAAACUAUUAUAUUUACAUUAAUACUUAUGUGUGGUUAUUAUUGGGAAAUAUAAAGAAAGAAGACAGCAACCAAAAUUUUAAAGACAGUCAUUUGUAGAACAUUUCAAUAUCAAAACAUUUUUUUUUAUUAUCUUCACGAACCUCAAUUUUCAGAGAGUCUGCUUAAAACUGUCAAAGUGUUAUUAAAUAUUUAUUCAUGUCCUCUUAUAGACCAUUUUUAUCCUGAUAUAUAUUUACCAAAAGUAAUUUGUAUGUAUGCACGAUGAUCUCUCCGUGAAUGGAGCACCCCUCUAUAGCUGCGAGGCUACAGUUGAUUCAAUGAACAAUCCCAAUCGGGAUUAAAGGAGAUUUGUAUUGACGAAUUGUACCAGUUAUGUUGACUGAUAUAUUGUCUGAUAGAUAUGAUAUAUCAGUAUUUUGUUCUAGGCUCUCCGAGUUCACCCCCCUCUUCCUCUAAAAAAGAAACAAACAAUUGAUUAUAUAUUAAAAUGAUUCGUAAGGUACAAUUUAUCAUACGGCACUAAGCUAUAUUUAAAGCAGGAUUGACAGUAAAUUGGUUUAAUGAUAUAACUUAGGUGAUGAUUAACUACACCAGAGACAUAUAAUGUCUCUGACUACACUUAUAACAAAAUAUAUAUUUACUGGAUCAUGGCGGGCGGAAGUGUAUUAUUUGAAAACUUUUAAAUGAGGUUGACACGAAGCACAUAAACAUACAUAUAAAUUAGGCCUGUAUCGCUGAAAUGAUCUUUUUGUUUCAAAAUUAUUAACUUGACACCUUCGUUUUGUGUGGGAAACCUGAGAGAUUUUUCAAAACGUUCGAUUUAUAUAAUCCGGAAAUUCAGCUCCGUGAAAUUUUGAUAGAGUUCUCUAUUUGAUAUUUUCUCCCAAAAUUAGGUCAUCGUAUAUCGCCAGCUGGACAUUUAUCAUUUCUUUUCAUUUGUAAGCACAAGGAUUUGGUAAGCAUUAGUAUAUAUAUAUGCAAACAUUUCUAGCCGUCAGUGAAAUUUGUUCUUAGUGGACAGGCCCGUAGCCAGGAAUUUCCAAGGGGGGGUUCGUUGGACUCAUGAACUCGACUUUAACAGUCACAAUUUGAACAAAAAGUUGACUUUAACAGUGCUUAUUUGAUUUCAAGGGGGGGGGGGGGUCGUCCGAACCCCCCCUGGCUACGGGUAUGGUGGACCAUUGGCAUAACCUGUCUCUUGACUGUCAGAUUUAACAGGUGAAGGCAAGGACUCCAAGCCCAGGUCGGAAUGCUUUUUUAAUAUAUGUUUUCAGUCGGAUUUAAUAAUGAAAACUGGAACCUUACGCGAGGAGAAAUUCUCAUUAAGUAGAGGGGUAUCUAGAUGUUAAACUUAGGGAACAGUCAUUGUUUAUCAGCUGAAGGGUAUGUUCAAAUUUUUCAAAAAAAAAAAAAAACACUUUAUGAACCACAUAAUGACCCCACUCCCCUUACCACACAGCUUCAAAACUUUGACCCCAAAUAAAAAUCCCUAUCGAUUGUAAGAAGAAAUUCUCACUAUAGUAGGACAUUUCCCAGAUCCCAGAUAAGGGGUCUGUAGAAGCUAAACUUAAUAUAGUUAUGUUCUGGAGAGCAACAAAAACAGGGUGCAAGAGGAUUAGAUCUGAAGACAAAGGUACAGAGGUAGUACAUAUAGGUAUAAAGUUGAAAGGAAAGGGGAUUAUUCUUUGACUUUUUGGGGAGGAUGAUUUUGAAAAUGAAUAAUCAUAAUAUCCACAUGUAUGUCUACUGAAUAAAAUAAGCAUAACAGAUGAAAAUGAAUAUUCAAUUUGGAAAAAUUACUUCUGGCCCCCCAAAUUAUCAAAUGGUCAUCUAAGCCAAAUAAUUAUGACGUCUUGACCAUGUUGAAAGGAUAUUUUAUUUUUUUCCUGCGACACAUUCCUUUGGACUAAUGGUUAUCUAAUUAUUUGUCAAUUUGUUAGCUAUUUAUUUUUUUUCUGUGACACCUUGCUUUGGACUACAUGGAAUAAUGGUCAUCUAUUUAUUUGUCAAUUUGUUAUACCUUGCAUAAAUGGGGAGACCUGCAAUUACUUCACAAUUAAUAGUCUGUUUUGAAACAUUUCACAGUACUUGCAUUUGUUGAAUCAGAUGAAUUACUAGGCAUAGUUUUAGUUGUACAUGAGUACUGUCACGAGACUUUGACUCCAUAAUGGAUGACUGGGAGAGUUAAAUAGAUUAGCUUCUGCAUCUGACAUUUCUGAUACAUCCAUUUCAUUGGAAUGUCUUUUUUUGGAAAGUAAACUACAUAAAACUCUGUAUAAAAUCAUCAAUACCUCUCUCUCUCUAUCUUCAUGUACAUUGUAUCUAGAUUUUUUGUAUAUGUUUACAUUUAUUAUUGAUUAGUGGUGAUGGUAAAUAGACACUCACAAGUCUAAGAUACAAUUUAAUAGUUCUGAAUGUUUUUUCAUCAUGUUCAUCAGUUAACUGAAAUUAAGUGGAGAUAUGUUCUUAUUUCCAACAGAGAGGCAUGCACUCAACCUAUAUCAAUUUGUGCAUGAAGCGAUUGAUAGUUGAUAGAUACUGAAUGCUUUUACAACAAAUUUGUGAAAGUUUUGACCUGUGUAUAUAUACUUAAAAUACAAUAAUAAAAUUCAUGUCUUUCAGGACUUCUGAUCCAACCAUGUAGUAUGGCAUGUUAUUAAGAUGUGGGUUUGGUCGAUGGAUGUUCAUGAAGGACCUGUAGUACAAAGUAUAUCACUGGAUUGAGCUCUUUGUCUAAGUGUAUUAUGAAAGUGCUUAGCUUUGAUCUCAGUUCAUUGUUAUGCAAUUCAUUCAUUGGGAAAUAAAGAUUUGACAGACAACUCUCAUGUACGUACAGUAGUAUCCAUUCUAUGUACAAUGUAAGUAAUAGGGAGAUACAUGUACAUUGUAAUAGCAUUUUAUUUAGAUUUAAAUCAAACAUUUUUUGUCCAUUAGCCAAAUAAUCCAAAUUUAAAAAAAAACACAAAUUUACCAAACAACGCUACUCUUGCUACUAGCAAAUGAGCAAUAUGAUGCAAGAUUGUUAUGUUACACUUUAUUUUUGUACAUCUAUACUGCCAACAUGACGCCUUAGUCCUGAGUGUAAAUGGUCAUUCAGUAUGUUAAAAAAAAGACCAAAAUUUAUAAGGCCUAUUUGGCCUAAUUGAAUUAAAAAACUAUAUUUCAUUGUUCAUGUUCAACAUUUAUCAUUCAUUUGUUUAUUUUUUAAUUUGUGUGAAUUAACAGCAAUUAUUAAUUACAUUGUACUACAAUAUACUUUUAUACCACAACAAAACUGCCUUACUGUAUUGGUAUUACUUAUAGUUGUAUCCAUAUAACAAAAUAAAUUGAAAAGAGAAUAUUUUUGCAAAACCUUUUUCCUAUUGAAUACUAUAACUUUUUAGAUCUUUAGACAUAUUAAGUAGAUGUUCAUAUCCACUUGAAAUUUUAUCAGAUAACUUCUGUAGCAGUUAUGAGUCUUUGAAGCAUGCUCACAAAGGUUCUUGCUUUAACCUGCUUUGUAGGAAAUAUUUUCAAAUAAUUAAUAUAAAAUAACACAGAAGUUUACUCUCUAGCUCAUCUAGCCCCAAGCAUCAUGUCAGGCAUUGUCAUUACUAUUGUCUUCUAAUCUGAGUAAAUUAAUUACUAAAAACAAUUAAAUGUCUUCUAAUCUGAGAAACAAUUUCGACAUUUAAACGAAAUCUUUUACUUAUGAUAAUGAUGAUCCUCCACAAAUUAAUAUAAAAAGAACCAUACAAAUAGUAAGCAAAUACAUGUUCUCAGAUAUCAUCUCCCAUAUAAAAAAAAAUUACAUCAUAAAAUAAUGAACCUGUUAUGUGUUCCUCUCCUAGCUUCAAAAUUUAUCCAAAAUCAAAGAUGUGGAACAUAUUCUAUCAUAAUCAUUUGGUAAUUAAUGCAAUAAGUGUCUCUUCCAUGCCCGUCUUGAACAUAGAAAACUAAAUAUUUAAUAAACAACUCUCCUAAUGCUCAGGUUGGUUGUCAAAUUGUGCAAGACAGUUAAUAAUAUAGAACCCUUUGGGAAAAACAUGGAACUUCUUUUGUCAUACAAAACAGUGUCAAACAUCCAAACAUUCUAUCCACACUGAUCUGUGUCCACACUUGUAUUUGUUGUAAAAUUUCUUUUAUUUUCAUACCAACUUGAAUCCAUUCUUUUCAGGCGCUGAAAUCAUUCACUAUAGGACGUCAAGAUACAUAUACCGACUAAGAAGUUUGCCAUGCCAAUAACUGAGGGUCGAGAUAAAGUUUACAGAAUAGAUAAUAAUGGACCAAGAGUAAAGAAUCGGACCAUAAAAUAAAUAAUGGAGAAUAAUGG
This 9659-nucleotide long non-coding RNA is filed under the name Mytilus galloprovincialis (Mediterranean mussel). The record is from RNAcentral. Lineage: Eukaryota; Metazoa; Mollusca; Bivalvia; Mytilida; Mytilidae.